This 113-nucleotide small RNA is filed under the name Halomonas sp. A11-A. Its description in RNAcentral is "t44 RNA". It matches the Rfam family "t44 RNA". Rfam says of the family: This family consists of a number of bacterial RNA genes of between 135 and 170 bases in length. The t44 gene is found between the map and rpsB genes in all species in the full alignment apart from Shigella flexneri. The function of this RNA is unknown. Lineage: Bacteria; Pseudomonadati; Pseudomonadota; Gammaproteobacteria; Oceanospirillales; Halomonadaceae. The record is from RNAcentral.
AUCAAUGUAACGCCUUGAAAACACACAUGCACCGGCACAUGGUCCCGGGUGCUGUCGCGGCUCCUCCAGAGGGCUUCGGCGGUCGGAUCCAUGGGGUGCGUGGAGGCCUAACC